Long non-coding RNA from Passer domesticus (house sparrow), 367 nucleotides. RefSeq lists it as uncharacterized. The record is from RefSeq and is a predicted model, not a curated record. The transcript has 3 exons. NCBI's taxonomy places the organism in Eukaryota, Metazoa, Chordata, Aves, Passeriformes, Passeridae.
GAGAUCUGUUCCUUCCCAGAUCAACUUCUUAUACUGUUCCAUCUUCAGUAAUUUUUAAUUAAAUUUUUAAUUUUUCAAAAUUAAAUGACAAUACAGUGAAUUUCCCAAUUAAAAAAAUUACUUAAGGUCAGCAUCAAGGAGGAAAAGUGGCUUCUCUCCAUCGCCGCCCGGCUGUCAUCACAUUAUAGCCUAAGUGGUGGAAGGAGGUCAACAGCUAAUAAAUCUUAUUCCUCAAUAACUCUGCUGAGACUCAGCAGAAAAGCAGCCUGUGACCAUCACUUUAUCCAUUUUUCUCCUGUGCAAAAGAAAUUCUGAGGCAAGUGCAAAUGAGAGACUCUAAUGGGAUAAUUAAGACAGAAGUAUUUGA